AAAGUCGUAACAAGGUUUCCGUAGGUGAACCUGCGGAAGGAUCAUUACAGGGUAUCAUGCCCUCACGGGUAGAUCUCCACCCUUGAAUAACAUACCUUUGUUGCUUUGGCAGGCCCCAUUUCCAGCGGCUUCGGCUGCUGAGUGCCUGCCAGAGGACCACAACUCUUGUUUUUAGUGAUGUCUGAGUACUAUAUAAUAGUUAAAACUUUCAACAACGGAUCUCUUGGUUCUG
This 232-nucleotide unclassified non-coding RNA is filed under the name Ascomycota sp. RNAcentral describes it as "partial contains small subunit ribosomal RNA, internal transcribed spacer 1, and 5.8S ribosomal RNA". The stretch from base 1 to 47 matches the Rfam family "Eukaryotic small subunit ribosomal RNA", at positions 1785 to 1831 of the family's 1831-position model. Lineage: Eukaryota; Fungi; Ascomycota. The record is from RNAcentral.